AUGGAAUCACCCGAUUGGCAGAACCAUACAGAAGCAAUAGCGCGGCGGAAGCAACACCAAGUACAAAUCAGAGUGGCGCAGCACAGCAGCGACCCAAACCCGAGAGAGAUGGCCGCGGCAGCUCACCUCCGUUGUCACAUCGUCUUCAAUUCGGCGAGCAACGCCCGGCGUCACACGCAGGCCUCCGCCCCGUCGCUCUCGCGCGGUCGCCUCCCAACGGCUCGAAAGCCUCCCGUGGCCGGCUGCCAGCGCCACGGCGUAGGGGCCUUGGAACUAGGCGACGGAGCGGCGAGGCGGCCGGCGCCGCGGUUCCUGUGCCUGCACGGGUUCCGCACCAGCGGGGAGAUCAUGCGGAGGCAGGUGGCCCGCCGGCGUCACGUCCCGCCUGGACCUCGCCUUCGCCGACGCGCCCUUCCCCGCCGAGGGCGACUCCCCGGUGCGCGGCGUCUUCGACCCGCCCUACUACGAGUGGUGCCACUUCGCCGGCGAGGUCAGUCCGGCGGGCCUCCGACAGACCAGGAUUUUUUGAAGUACAAGAACUUCGGCGAGUGCUUGGCCGGCAUCGAGGAGCUGAUGGUGAGACAAGGGCCGUUCGACGGACUGUUUGGUUUCUCUCAGGUGGGCGCCCUCCUGUCGGCCGCGCUUGGGUUGGCCUUGAACAUGGUUCCUAGGGUGAAGUACGUUAUGAUCAUAUCCGGUGCGAAGAUCCAAUCCCCGGCAUUGGCUGCCAAGGCGUACGCCAACAAGAUCAACUGCACUUCGCUUCACUUCAUUGGUGACGGUGACUUCGUGAAGGCCCACGGCGAGGAGCUGGCGGACUCGUUCGUGGAUCCACUUGUCAUACGCCACCCGGCCGGACACACGGUCCCCAGAUUCGACGAGAAGGGUCUCCAAGCGAUGCUCGGCUACCUUGACAAGAUUGAAAGGGAUCUGGCGAGAGAUUAA
RNAcentral lists this ribosomal RNA (945 nucleotides) under Triticum aestivum (bread wheat). RNAcentral describes it as "partial small subunit ribosomal RNA". The record is from RNAcentral. Lineage: Eukaryota; Viridiplantae; Streptophyta; Magnoliopsida; Poales; Poaceae.